This 468-nucleotide ribosomal RNA is filed under the name uncultured bacterium. RNAcentral describes it as "partial 16S ribosomal RNA". It matches the Rfam family "Bacterial small subunit ribosomal RNA", at positions 28 to 507 of the family's 1533-position model. The record is from RNAcentral.
GACGAACGCUGGCGGCGUGCUUAACACAUGCAAGUCGAACGGAAAGGCCCUGCUUUUGUGGGGUGCUCGAGUGGCGAACGGGUGAGUAACACGUGAGUAACCUGCCCUUGACUUUGGGAUAACUUCAGGAAACUGGGGCUAAUACCGGAUAGGAGCUCCUGCUGCAUGGUGGGGGUUGGAAAGUUUCGGCGGUUGGGGAUGGACUCGCGGCUUAUCAGCUUGUUGGUGGGGUAGUGGCUUUCCAAGGCUUUGACGGGUAGCCGGCCUGAGAGGGUGACCGGCCACAUUGGGACUGAGAUACGGACCAGACUCCUACGGGCGGCAGCAGUGGGGAAUAUUGCACAAUGGGCGGAAGCCUGAUGCAGCAACGCCGCGUGCGGGAUGACGGCCUUCGGGUUGUAAACCGCUUUCGCCUGUGACGAAGCGUGAGUGACGGUAAUGGGUAAAGAAGCACCGGCUAACUACGUG